AGAGUUGCCAAGGAGACGCCAUGUAGCUAUGGGGAAGAUGGGAUUGCCUGGUUAUUCUCUGGGAAGUUGCCUCUUAAUUCGACAGAGACUUUUGCAGAGAGAUAAUGUGAUACAAGAGAAACUAGGAAUCUUGGUGUUAUAUAAUUCAACUUGGAGCAAAUAAAGCAUGGACAUUGUUUCACUAGGAAGUUCGGAACUUUCAGGAGUUGUGGGAAAACGUACUCCUGUUUUUAGCUGGUUUUCAAUUUUCUUGCUGUCUCUGAGUCAUUGAAAUCUGCAUAACGCCAGCAACUACUGUGAAUAAACAUGGUGUGAUCCUUGCCAAUAAAACAUCCUUACUUUCAGGGGAAAAGUAAAAUCUCUAGACAAAAUGACUGGUUAAAAACUUUAAUCUUCUUUGGAUAUGUUUCUUA
Molecule: long non-coding RNA, 413 nt
Organism: Mesocricetus auratus (golden hamster)
Lineage: Eukaryota; Metazoa; Chordata; Mammalia; Rodentia; Cricetidae
Exons: 3
Source: RefSeq, a predicted model, not a curated record